This 828-nucleotide ribosomal RNA is filed under the name Boana cf. geographica AF-2016. RNAcentral's name for it is "partial 16S ribosomal RNA". It matches the Rfam family "Bacterial large subunit ribosomal RNA", at positions 1422 to 2570 of the family's 2925-position model. The record is from RNAcentral. Lineage: Eukaryota; Metazoa; Chordata; Amphibia; Anura; Hylidae.
UCAUUCUACUAAUUUCAAAAACAAUUUCUAACCCUUUAUUUUUACCAGACUAAUCUAUAAAAUUAUAGAACUAACAAUGUUAAAACUAGUAUCAAGAAGUAAGCCCUUCUCUUUAAUGUAAGUGUAAGACAGAAAGGAUAAACCUCUGUCAAUUAACAUCUAUGAUUUUUGAUAAGUAACGUAACAAGAAAACCCUUAUAUUAGCAAUGUUAAACUAACACAAGAGCAUUUCAAGAAAGAUUCAAAAAAAAAGAAGGAACUCGGCAAACCUAAACCCCGCCUGUUUACCAAAAACAUCGCCUCUUGAAUAAAAUAAGAGGUCCAGCCUGCCCAGUGAAAUUAUUCAACGGCCGCGGUAUCCUAACCGUGCGAAGGUAGCGUAAUCACUUGUUCUUUAAAUGAGGACUAGUAUGAAUGGCACCACGAGGGUUCUACUGUCUCCUUUUUUAAAUCAGUGAAACUAAUCUCCCCGUGAAGAAGCGGGGAUUUUUUUAUAAGACGAGAAGACCCUAUGGAGCUUUAAACAAACAUCAUUUGCUGCAUAUAAUACUUUUACCUUCAUUUAAUAUAGCACUAUGACCUUUAGUUUUUGAUUGGGGUGAUCACGGAGUAAAAUGAAACCUCCACGCCGAAAGGGUUUAUUCCCUGAGCAAAAAGCCACAACUUUAAGCACUAAAAAAUUAACGUAAUUUGACCCAAUAUUUUGAUCAACGAACCAAGUUACCCUAGGGAUAACAGCGCAAUCCACUUCAAGAGCUCCUAUCGACAAGUGGGUUUACGACCUCGAUGUUGGAUCAGGGUAUCCUAGUGGUGCAGCCGCUACUAAUG